Molecule: long non-coding RNA, 972 nt
Organism: Thamnophis elegans (Western terrestrial garter snake)
Lineage: Eukaryota; Metazoa; Chordata; Lepidosauria; Squamata; Natricidae
Exons: 2
Source: RefSeq, a predicted model, not a curated record
CCCCACCCCUGAUUUACAAUAUUCCCAGAUGUCUUUUGAUAAGCAAACGUGGAACCUUCGCUUCCCACAGGUUCCAUAUAUGGGAGAAAUCCCUAGGUACCUUUCUCUCCGCCCCACAAGGAAGACCUUCUGCCCCAUGCUCACCCUCCCAGUGCCAUCUUUCCAGAGGACCCGGCUCAGGACUCCCCCCCCUCCCCUUCUUGUUCCCUCUGGGUGGGGCAAUCAAUUUCCACUCUGCUCUUCUCGCUUCCCCGCCAGGCCAGUAGCUUGCCAAGUUUCCUAGAACAGCAAGCCCAGCUGGAGCUCCUGGCUAGGAGAGUCACCUUGCUGGAAGCUAUCAUCUGGCCAGAACCAGACCUGGGAUCCGGCCUUGACCCGGCCACUAGGGGUGUCCCCGGCGGCGAUCGGAGUAAGCGCAGUGGGUACUCGGCGGCCUACCGUGUGAGCUCGCACCGCCUUCCUCAGAAGGGAGAGGAGAGGAAGAAAUGAAGGAGGCUCUGUCCACCGUCAGGCGAAGAAGAGGACCACAUCUGGAUGGAGGCACCUCCGAUGUGGAGGGAGCACCGUGCUCCAUCCUCCUCCUCCUCCACGCUCUGCCUUGGACCGGUGGUGAUGGAGACGGGGGCUGUUUGAUGGACCAGGCUGGGCCUUGCUAACAAACCCUGUGUAUUUAUUUCUUCUUUUCACACAGGGGGUGUUGUUCCUGCUAUGGAACAAAUAGGAAUAAGAUGUUAUGGGGUCUAUGCUUAUUUGAGGGGGGGGGCGUCUCGGCUUGCCUGUCACUUGCCGGAGAUCCCCUCUUUGUGGUCAGAUUGGGCUGCAAUUUGGCAAGGACGGGCCCAACAUGUCCAGCCUUCUGCCACUUUCUCGUCCGCACGGUGGCAUCUCUCCGGAAUACGUCCAGAGGCUCCGGAUGCCCAGAUGUUUCCUUUUCUUUGAACCUCAAUCUUUAAACCUCAAUUUUACCUUUUU